CCAACGGCCCUCUUUAGGGCCACCAAAACAAUAAACCAAAACUUGU
Non-coding RNA from Anisakis simplex (herring worm), 46 nucleotides. NCBI's taxonomy places the organism in Eukaryota, Metazoa, Nematoda, Chromadorea, Rhabditida, Anisakidae. The record is from Rfam.